GGGCUGGGGUCUGAACAACAGCGCUCAGGACCAGACUCGGGAGGUUUCUCAGGGAGAGGAUCAGGUUGGGAACCCUGGACAUGCCCUGAGGCCACAGCCCAGAGACAAGGGUUCACAGGAUCGGAGUCGCUUCUCUCAAGCUGCCCACAACUACUUCACAUGACCAUGUCAUAAAACCAGGAACUGGAUAUUCUAGAGUUAGAACCCAAGCCAUCAGUCACAAUACCUGAGCUGUCUCACCAGCCUACGGAAAAUGAAGCAGAUAAAUCCUUCAGGACAAAAGAUGCAACACAAAUGGAAAAGGAGUAAGGAGAGAAAAAGGAAUUUAUCUU
RNAcentral lists this long non-coding RNA (332 nucleotides) under Columba livia (rock pigeon). Its description in RNAcentral is "partial uncharacterized LOC102086451, transcript variant X2". Lineage: Eukaryota; Metazoa; Chordata; Aves; Columbiformes; Columbidae. The record is from RNAcentral.